This 253-nucleotide ribosomal RNA is filed under the name uncultured bacterium. RNAcentral describes it as "partial 16S ribosomal RNA". It matches the Rfam family "Bacterial small subunit ribosomal RNA", at positions 524 to 776 of the family's 1533-position model. The record is from RNAcentral.
UACGGGGGGGGCAAGCGUUGUUCGGAAUUACUGGGCGUAAAGGGCUCGUAGGCGGCCAACUAAGUCAGACGUGAAAUCCCUCGGCUUAACCGGGGAACUGCGUCUGAUACUGGAUGGCUAGAGUUUGGGAGAGGGAUGCGGAAUUCCAGGUGUAGCAGUGAAAUGCGUAGAUAUCUGGAGGAACACCGGUGGCGAAGGCGGCAUCCUGGACCGACAUUGACGCUGAGGCGCGAAAGCCAGGGGAGCAAACGGG